This 1488-nucleotide ribosomal RNA is filed under the name uncultured bacterium. Its description in RNAcentral is "bacterial SSU rRNA". It matches the Rfam family "Bacterial small subunit ribosomal RNA". The record is from RNAcentral.
GAACGAACGCUGGCGGCGUGGAUAAGACAUGCAAGUCGAACGGGAUUUUCUUUUGUAGCAAUACAGAGGAAAGUCUAGUGGCGAACGGGUGCGUAACACGUGAGCAACCUACCGUGAAGUGGGGGAUAGCUCGCCGAAAGGCGAAUUAAUACCGCAUGUGGCCAAGGAAGACAUCUUCCUGACGCCAAAGCCGGGGUAACCUGGCGCUUCUCGAGGGGCUCGCGGCCUAUCAGCUUGUUGGUGAGGUAACGGCUCACCAAGGCUAUGACGGGUAGCUGGUCUGAGAGGACGACCAGCCACACUGGAACUGAGACACGGUCCAGACACCUACGGGUGGCAGCAGUCGAGAAUUUUUCACAAUGGGGGAAACCCUGAUGGAGCGACGCCGCGUGGAGGAUGACGGUUUUCGGAUUGUAAACUCCUGUCAUUAGAGAACAAGGCACAUGGUUUAACUGACCGUGUGUUGAUAGUAUCUGAAGAGGAAGGGACGGCUAACUCUGUGCCAGCAGCCGCGGUAAUACAGAGGUCCCAAGCGUUGUUCGGAUUCAUUGGGCGUAAAGGGUGCGUAGGUGGCGAGGUAAGUCGGAUGUGAAAUCUCCAAGCUCAACUUGGAAACUGCAUUCGAUACUGCUUUGCUAGAGGAUUGUAGAGGGCAUUGGAAUUCACGGUGUAGCAGUGAAAUGCGUAGAUAUCGUGAGGAAGACCAGUGGCGAAAGGCGAAUGCCUGGGCAAUUCCUGACACUGAGGCACGAAGGCCCAGGGGAGCAAACGGGAUUAGAUACCCCGGUAGUCCUGGCAGUAAACGGUGCACGUUUGGUGUGGGAGGAUUCGACCCCUUCCGUGCCGGAGCUAACGCGUUAAACCUGCCGCCUGGGGAGUACGGUCGCAAGAUUAAAACUCAAAGAAAUUGACGGGGACCCGCACAAGCGGUGGAGUAUGUGGCUUAAUUCGAUGCAACGCGAAGAACCUUACCUGGCCUUGACAUGCAUCUCCAAAUCCGGUGAAAGCCGGUGAGCGUAGCAAUACGCAAUUUGCACAGGUGCUGCAUGGCUGUCGUCAGCUCGUGUCGUGAGAUGUUGGGUUAAGUCCCGCAACGAGCGCAACCCCUGUGAACUGUUGCCAUGGAGACGUGAGUCUCCGGCACUCUGUUCAGACUGCCCUGUUCAACGGGGAGGAAGGUGGGGACGACAUCAAGUCAGUAUGGCCCUUACGGCCAGGGCUGCACACGUACUACAAUGCCCGACACAGAAGGAUCCGAGACCGCAAGGUGGAGGAAAUCACCAAAGUCGGGCCCAGUUCGGAUUGGAGGCUGCAACUCGCCUCCAUGAAGCCGGAAUCGCUAGUAAUGGCGCAUCAGCUACGGCGCCGUGAAUACGUUCCCGGGUCUUGUACACACCGCCCGUCACAUCAUGGGAGUCGUUUGUACCCGAAGUGCGCGCGCCAACCGCAAGGAGGCAGCGCCCCUAAGGUAUGAGUGGUAACUGGGAU